UACAGAGGUCUCAAGCGUUGUUCGGAAUCACUGGGCGUAAAGCGUGCGUAGGCUGUUUCGUAAGUCGUGUGUGAAAGGCGCGGGCUUAACCCGCGGACGGCACAUGAUACUGCGAGACUAGAGUAAUGGAGGGGGAACCGGAAUUCUCGGUGUAGCAGUGAAAUGCGUAGAUAUCACGAAGAACCCCGAUUGCGAAGGCAGCCUGCCGCAGCGUUACUGACGCUGAAGCUCGAAAGCGCGGGUAUCGAACAGG
Molecule: ribosomal RNA, 253 nt
Filed under: uncultured bacterium
Lineage: Bacteria
Description: partial 16S ribosomal RNA
Rfam family: Bacterial small subunit ribosomal RNA
Source: RNAcentral